AUCCAGCUGACCAGUCCCAAAUAGGACGAAGCGCGUAUCCUGGAU
This 45-nucleotide non-coding RNA is filed under the name Schistosoma mansoni. Lineage: Eukaryota; Metazoa; Platyhelminthes; Trematoda; Strigeidida; Schistosomatidae. The record is from RNAcentral.